UACGGGGGGGGCAAGCGUUGUCCGGAUUUAUUGGGCGUAAAGAGCGUGUAGGCGGCUGGGUAGGUCCGUUGUGAAAACUCGAGGCUCAACCUCGAGACGCCGAUGGAAACCCUCCAGCUAGAGUCCGGAAGAGGAGAGUGGAAUUCCUGGUGUAGCGGUGAAAUGCGCAGAUAUCAGGAAGAACACCCGUGGCUAAGGCGGCUCUCUAGUACGGUACUGACGCUGAGACGCGAAAGCGUGGGGAGCGAGCAGG
This 253-nucleotide ribosomal RNA is filed under the name uncultured bacterium. RNAcentral's name for it is "partial 16S ribosomal RNA". It matches the Rfam family "Bacterial small subunit ribosomal RNA", at positions 524 to 776 of the family's 1533-position model. The record is from RNAcentral.